GCUCUCAGGUCGCGGUGUAUUGCUUCUGCAUAUAUUAGACUGCUGGCAUCGAAUUGGGUUUGCUGGUGGAAAGUUCUGUGUCGUAUCAGUCUUUAAGAGUGUAGACUUAAUCAAGGGGAAGGAAGAAAUCGUAUUGAGAGCUGUCCAAAUUUUUUGUCUUGCUGUGUGGCUGUGUGGUUCAUGAAAAUAAGAGAUGCCCAUGUGGUCUUGGCCUUCUCCCCGAAGGGGCUUUCUUAGAAGCUACGGGGAAUUUGGAAUUUGUUUACAUCGCUUUGAGACAUUAUGCAGGUGUAUGUAGUCAAUCUGUCUAAUGAGAAUGCUGAAGUUCCACGAGCCCAGACUUGCUGAUGACCCUUGGUACGAAGCUCUGGAGGCAGAAUCAUGGACGGAGUGGCCACAGCGCAACCCUCACGGCAGAGGGUUACUGCAGUCGUUGAGGUAGUCUGUGUGAGGCUGGUUUGGGCAUUAUCCACUGCCUCCUUCAUUCUCCAGACCAAGCCCAACACCAUGAAGAAUAUCAAGUGCAUAUUUAAUGAAAAUGGAAGACAUUGGAAGAUCUUGUCUUAGCCACAGAGGGUGGAGUAUCUGCAAAUAUAUAGACAGUGAAUUUGAUUUGGAAAAUAUUACUACUGAUGCUGAGUUGCAGGAAAGA
Lolium rigidum is the source of this 652-nucleotide long non-coding RNA. RefSeq lists it as uncharacterized. The record is from RefSeq and is a predicted model, not a curated record. NCBI's taxonomy places the organism in Eukaryota, Viridiplantae, Streptophyta, Magnoliopsida, Poales, Poaceae. The transcript has 4 exons.